RNAcentral lists this long non-coding RNA (501 nucleotides) under Rattus norvegicus (Norway rat). Its description in RNAcentral is "long non-coding RNA NONRATT015932". The record is from RNAcentral. Lineage: Eukaryota; Metazoa; Chordata; Mammalia; Rodentia; Muridae.
UCUGAGAUGACAUCUUUGAAAGAAAGCAGACCCCAGUUGGGCUCCAUAUUCAUAAUUGGCUGUGCUUAGGCCUGUAAAUCUGGAUUGAUUUAAAAAGGCUUCUUCAUCCUUCCAAUCAAAUGAAGUCAUUGUUAAUUAGAUGGGUUUUUGUUAACAAUGUCACUCUCUCCAUAUUACCUGCUCACACUUGCAGUCCCUCUAGUACAUCUGGAACACCAGCUCUCCUGCAGUCACAUCUUCUAACACUCCUGCUGGAAAGUGAUGGUAUUUCUGUUCCUCCAUUCCCUCCCUGUCUGGAGGAAGAUUCUGUUCAAUGUAUUGGUGUGCAGUACAAAUUAUCUUCCUAUACUGAGAGAUUAUAAAGCAACCUCUGGAAACACUCUUAAAAUUUGGCAUAUUAUGAACGACGCUGCAAUUUUGUUUGUCGACCCUAAUUGUAGAUGGAUGCUUAGUGUAGAGAAGGAGCUCACAAGAUAGUUUGGCUAAUAAAAAAAAAAAAAA